RNAcentral lists this ribosomal RNA (248 nucleotides) under uncultured bacterium. Its description in RNAcentral is "partial 16S ribosomal RNA". It matches the Rfam family "Bacterial small subunit ribosomal RNA", at positions 524 to 771 of the family's 1533-position model. The record is from RNAcentral.
UACGGAGGGGGCUAGCGUUGUUCGGAAUUACUGGGCGUAAAGCGCACGUAGGCGGCUUUGUAAGUUAGAGGUGAAAGCCCAGGGCUUAACCCUGGAAUUGCCUUUAAGACUGCAUCGCUAGAAUUGUGGAGAGGUAAGUGGAAUUCCGAGUGUAGAGGUGAAAUUCGUAGAUAUUCGGAAGAACACCAGUGGCGAAGGCGGCUCACUGGUCCGGUACUGACGCUGAGGUGCGAAAGCGUGGGGAGCAA